Molecule: ribosomal RNA, 434 nt
Filed under: uncultured Rhodospirillaceae bacterium
Lineage: Bacteria; Pseudomonadati; Pseudomonadota; Alphaproteobacteria; Rhodospirillales; Rhodospirillaceae
Description: bacterial SSU rRNA
Rfam family: Bacterial small subunit ribosomal RNA
Source: RNAcentral
AACGAACGCUGGCGGCAUGCCUAACACAUGCAAGUCGAACGAAGCCUUCGGGCUUAGUGGCGAACGGGUGAGUAACGCGUGGGAACCUGCCCCUGAGUGGGGAACAACCGCUGGAAACGGCGGCUAAUACCGCAUACGCCUCUUCGGAGGGAAAGCUUUAUGCGCUCAGGGAGGGUCCCGCGUCCGAUUAGCUAGUUGGAGGGGUAAAAGCCCACCAAGGCGACGAUCGGUAGCUGGUCUGAGAGGAUGAUCAGCCACACUGGGACUGAGACACGGCCCAGACUCCUACGGGAGGCAGCAGUGGGGAAUAUUGGACAAUGGGGGCAACCCUGAUCCAGCAAUGCCGCGUGCGUGAAGAAGGCCUUAGGGUUGUAAAGCGCUUUCACCCGUGACGAUGAUGACGGUAGCGGGAGAAGAAGCCCCGGCUAACUCCG